RNAcentral lists this unclassified non-coding RNA (382 nucleotides) under Hevea brasiliensis (rubber tree). Lineage: Eukaryota; Viridiplantae; Streptophyta; Magnoliopsida; Malpighiales; Euphorbiaceae. The record is from RNAcentral.
CAAAAAUAAAUAAAUAAAUAAAAAAGCAAGCAUAAACUUCGAUUCUUAUCAAUUUAAAGAAUCAGAAAAUGGGUAUCGUCUUUUCGUCAAGAAAUCGACUUCUUCAAAUGGAAAGCAAAAAAUCUGAAUGAGUUUCUCUAACUAUAGCUAAAACGUAUUUAUAAACAACAAAAAGCUUCAAAAGCAAUGAAUGAUGGACCAAGAUAGGAAACAUCAACAAACUAUAACGAAACGAUUACGCAAUGCUAAUGAGAAGAAUUAUAAUGAAUCAAAGACCGUAAUUUGACGACAAAGAAAAUGAAAUAUUCAAACAUUAACAAGUGCACGUAAAUAGAAAUUAGAUAAGACAAAACAAGUACUGAUCAAUGGCUGCUUAAUUAAG